Molecule: ribosomal RNA, 443 nt
Filed under: uncultured bacterium
Lineage: Bacteria
Description: partial 16S ribosomal RNA
Rfam family: Bacterial small subunit ribosomal RNA
Source: RNAcentral
CCUACAGGAGGCAGCAGUGGGGAAUAUUGGGCAAUGGAGGCAACUCUGACCCAGCAACGCCGCGUGAAUGAUGAAGGUCUUCGGAUUGUAAAGUUCUUUUCUAAGGGAAGAAGAAAGUGACGGUACCUUAGGAAUAAGCCUCGGCUAACUACGUGCCAGCAGCCGCGGUAAUACGUAGGAGGCAAGCGUUAUCCGGAAUGACUGGGCGUAAAGGGUGCGUAGGUGGAUUGACAAGUUAGUAGCGCAACUCCGGAGCUCAACUUCGGAACUACUACUAAAACUGUUGGACUUGAGUGCAGGAGGGGCAAUCGGAAUUCCUGGUGUAGCGGUGGAAUGCGUAGAUAUUAGGAGGAACACCAGUGGCGAAGGCGGAUUGCUGGACUGUAACUGACGUUGAGGCUCGAAAGCGUGGGGAGCAAACAGGAUUAGAUACCCUAGUAGUC